Molecule: transfer RNA, 65 nt
Filed under: Amyrsidea minuta
Lineage: Eukaryota; Metazoa; Arthropoda; Insecta; Psocodea; Menoponidae
Description: tRNA-Phe
Source: RNAcentral
AUUCAGGUAGCUUAAAUAAAGCAUGGUGCUGAAGACGCUAAGAUAAGAGACUCUCUUUUUGAAUA